This 451-nucleotide ribosomal RNA is filed under the name uncultured bacterium. RNAcentral's name for it is "bacterial SSU rRNA". It matches the Rfam family "Bacterial small subunit ribosomal RNA", at positions 8 to 461 of the family's 1533-position model. The record is from RNAcentral.
AGAGUUUGAUCCUGGCUCAGAUUGAACGCUGGCGGCAUGCCUUACACAUGCAAGUCGAACGGCAGCACGGACUUCGGUCUGGUGGCGAGUGGCGAACGGGUGAGUAAUAUAUCGGAACGUACCCUGGAGUGGGGGAUAACGCAGCGAAAGUUGCGCUAAUACCGCAUACGAUCUACGGAUGAAAGUGGGGGACCGCAAGGCCUUGCGCUCAUGGAGCGGCCGAUGGCAGAUUAGGUAGUUGGUGGGAUAAAAGCUUACCAAGCCGACGAUCUGUAGCUGGUCUGAGAGGACGACCAGCCACACUGGGACUGAGACACGGCCCAGACUCCUACGGGAGGCAGCAGUGGGGAAUUUUGGACAAUGGGCGAAAGCCUGAUCCAGCCAUGCCGCGUGCAGGAUGAAGGCUUUCGGGUUGUAAACUGCUUUUGUACGGAACGAAAAGGUCUUUUCU